RNAcentral lists this ribosomal RNA (254 nucleotides) under uncultured bacterium. Its description in RNAcentral is "partial 16S ribosomal RNA". It matches the Rfam family "Bacterial small subunit ribosomal RNA", at positions 524 to 776 of the family's 1533-position model. The record is from RNAcentral.
UACGGAGGGGGCAAGCGUUGUUCGGAAUUACUGGGCGUAAAGCGUGCGCAGGCGGUUAUUUAAGUCAGGUGUGAAAGCCCUGGGCUUAACCUAGGAAUUGCGCUUGAGACUGGAUAGCUUGGAGUGCGGCAGAGGGAGGUGGAAUUCCACGUGUAGCAGUGAAAUGCGUAGAGAUGUGGAGGAACACCGAUGGCGAAGGCAGCCUCCUGGGCCAGCACUGACGCUCAUGCACGAAAGCGUGGGGAGCAAACAGG